AUGCAGGGUAUGGCCUUGGCCCUGCAGCACUCAUCCUUGCCAGUUGUGGUUCAGUCAGACUCAUCUACGGCACUAGCUGCAAUGACCGGGGACAGCUUGUCCAGGUCUGUUUAUGGGCAUUUGGUACUAGAGAUCAAGCGUUAUCUUCAGGAUCGAGAGUUUGUUCCAUCAAAAAUAAAGGGUGAGCAAAAUAGGGUAGCACAUCAGUUGGCAUUGUAUAGUCGUACGAAGUCCAUCUUGUACUGA
This 246-nucleotide ribosomal RNA is filed under the name Triticum aestivum (bread wheat). RNAcentral describes it as "partial small subunit ribosomal RNA". Lineage: Eukaryota; Viridiplantae; Streptophyta; Magnoliopsida; Poales; Poaceae. The record is from RNAcentral.